Molecule: ribosomal RNA, 460 nt
Filed under: uncultured bacterium
Lineage: Bacteria
Description: partial 16S ribosomal RNA
Rfam family: Bacterial small subunit ribosomal RNA
Source: RNAcentral
CCUACGGGGGGCUGCAGUGAGGAAUAUUGGUCAAUGGACGAGAGUCUGAACCAGCCAAGUAGCGUGAAGGAUGACUGCCCUAUGGGUUGUAAACUUCUUUUAUAUGGGAAUAAAAUGUUCCACGUGUGGGAUUUUGUAUGUACCAUAUGAAUAAGGAUCGGCUAACUCCGUGCCAGCAGCCGCGGUAAUACGGAGGAUCCGAGCGUUAUCCGGAUUUAUUGGGUUUAAAGGGAGCGUAGGUGGAUUGUUAAGUCAGUUGUGAAAGUUUGCGGCUCAACCGUAAAAUUGCAGUGGAAACUGGCAGUCUUGAGUACAGUAGAGGUGGGCGGAAUUCGUGGUGUAGCGGUGAAAUGCUUAGAUAUCACGAAGAACUCCGAUUGCGAAGGCAGUUCACUGGACUGCAACUGACACUGAGGCUCGAAAGUGUGGGUAUCAAACAGGAUUAGAUACCCCUGUAGUG